GCAGUAGGGAAUCUUCCGCAAUGGGCGAAAGCCUGACGGUGCAACGCCGCGUGAACGAUGAAGGUUUUCGGAUUGUAAAGUUUUGUUAUGAGGGAAGAACAAGUGCCGUUCGAAUAGGGCGGCACCUUGACGGUACCUCACGAGAAAGCCCCGGCUAACUACGUGCCAGCAGCCGCGGUAAUACGUAGGGGGCAAGCGUUGUCCGGAAUUAUUGGGCGUAAAGCGCGCGCAGGCGGUCUCUUAAGUCUGAUGUGAAAGCCCACGGCUCAACCGUGGAGGGUCAUUGGAAACUGGGAGACUUGGGUGUAGGAGAGGAAAGUGGAAUUCCACGUGUAGCGGUGAAAUGCGUAGAUAUGUGGAGGAACACCAGUGGCGAAGGCGACUUUCUGGCCUACAACUGACGCUGAGGCGCGAAAGCGUGGGGAGCAAACAGGAUUAGAUACCCUGGUAGUCCACGCUGUAAACGAUGAGUGCUAGGUGUUAGGGGUUUCGAUGCCCUUAGUGCCGAAGUUAACACAUUAAGCACUCCGCCUGGGGAGUACGGCCGCAAGGCUGAAACUCAAAGGAAUUGACGG
This 575-nucleotide ribosomal RNA is filed under the name uncultured Bacillota bacterium. RNAcentral's name for it is "bacterial SSU rRNA". It matches the Rfam family "Bacterial small subunit ribosomal RNA", at positions 351 to 916 of the family's 1533-position model. Lineage: Bacteria; Bacillati; Bacillota. The record is from RNAcentral.